GACGAACGCUGGCGGCGUGCUUAACACAUGCAAGUCGAGCGGUAAGGCCUUUCGGGGUACACGAGCGGCGAACGGGUGAGUAACACGUGGGUGAUCUGCCCUGCACUUCGGGAUAAGCCUGGGAAACUGGGUCUAAUACCGGAUAUGACCUCCUAUCGCAUGGUGGGUGGUGGAAAGAUUUAUCGGUGCAGGAUGGGCCCGCGGCCUAUCAGCUUGUUGGUGGGGUGAUGGCCUACCAAGGCGACGACGGGUAGCCGACCUGAGAGGGUGACCGGCCACACUGGGUCAGAGACGCGGCCGGCCCACCGGCGGGGGGCGGCGGGGGGAAAUAUUGCAAAGGGGCCAAAGCCCGACUGCAGCCCCCCCGCGUGGGGGAGCCCGCCCUGCGGUUUGAACCCCUCUCGCACCGGGCAAAAAGCGCACGGGACGUUCCCUAAAAAAGAAGCACCGACAACCCCCGUC
RNAcentral lists this ribosomal RNA (462 nucleotides) under uncultured bacterium. Its description in RNAcentral is "partial 16S ribosomal RNA". It matches the Rfam family "Bacterial small subunit ribosomal RNA", at positions 28 to 507 of the family's 1533-position model. The record is from RNAcentral.